AGAGCCUGAAUCAGUGUGUGUGUUAGUGGAAGCGUCUGGAAAGGCGUGCGAUACAGGGUGACAGCCCCGUACACAAAAAUGCACAUAUUGUGAGCUUGAUGAGUAGGGCGGGACACGUGGUAUCCUGUCUGAAUAUGGGGGGACCAUCCUCCAAGGCUAAAUACUCCUGACUGACCGAUAGUGAACCAGUACCGUGAGGGAAAGGCGAAAAGAACCCCGGCGAGGGGAGUGAAAAAGAACCUGAAACCGUGUACGUACAAGCAGUGGGAGCACGCUUAGGCGUGUGACUGCGUACCUUUUGUAUAAUGGGUCAGCGACUUAUAUUCUGUAGCAAGGUUAACCGAAUAGGGGAGCCGAAGGGAAACCGAGUCUUAACUGGGCGUUAAGUUGCAGGGUAUAGACCCGAAACCCGGUGAUCUAGCCAUGGGCAGGUUGAAGGUUGGGUAACACUAACUGGAGGACCGAACCGACUAAUGUUGAAAAAUUAGCGGAUGACUUGUGGCUGGGGGUGAAAGGCCAAUCAAACCGGGAGAUAGCUGGUUCUCCCCGAAAGCUAUUUAGGUAGCGCCUCGUGAAUUCAUCUCCGGGGGUAGAGCACUGUUUCGGCA
RNAcentral lists this ribosomal RNA (608 nucleotides) under Shigella sonnei. RNAcentral's name for it is "partial 23S ribosomal RNA". It matches the Rfam family "Bacterial large subunit ribosomal RNA", at positions 305 to 920 of the family's 2925-position model. The record is from RNAcentral. Lineage: Bacteria; Pseudomonadati; Pseudomonadota; Gammaproteobacteria; Enterobacterales; Enterobacteriaceae.